RNAcentral lists this ribosomal RNA (558 nucleotides) under Fusarium sambucinum. Its description in RNAcentral is "eukaryotic LSU rRNA". It matches the Rfam family "Eukaryotic large subunit ribosomal RNA", at positions 66 to 647 of the family's 3401-position model. Lineage: Eukaryota; Fungi; Ascomycota; Sordariomycetes; Hypocreales; Nectriaceae. The record is from RNAcentral.
CAACAGGGAUUGCCCUAGUAACGGCGAGUGAAGCGGCAACAGCUCAAAUUUGAAAUCUGGCUCUCGGGCCCGAGUUGUAAUUUGUAGAGGAUGACUUUGAUGCGGUGCCUUCCGAGUUCCCUGGAACGGGACGCCAUAGAGGGUGAGAGCCCCGUCUGGUUGGAUGCCAAAUCUCUGUAAGUCUCCUUCGACGAGUCGAGUAGUUUGGGAAUGCUGCUCUAAAUGGGAGGUAUAUGUCUUCUAAAGCUAAAUACCGGCCAGAGACCGAUAGCGCACAAGUAGAGUGAUCGAAAGAUGAAAAGCACUUUGAAAAGAGAGUUAAAAAGUACGUGAAAUUGUUGAAAGGGAAGCGUUUAUGACCAGACUUGGGCUUGGUUAAUCAUCUGGGGUUCUCCCCAGUGCACUUUUCCAGUCCAGGCCAGCAUCAGUUUUCGCCGGGGGACAAAGGCUUCGGGAAUGUGGCUCCCCUCGGGGAGUGUUAUAGCCCGUUGUGUAAUGCCCUGGCGGGGACUGAGGUUCGCGCUUCUGCAAGGAUGCUGGCGUAAUGGUCAUCAACGA